ACCCAUUAUGCACUGUGAGGGUUGCACUGAAUGAAUUACUGCAUCUCACCAGAAGAUGGCGCAUGCAGCUGAAUCAUCCAUCUAUCCAUUUUCCAAACUGCUGCUCCAAUGUGGCUACAGCGUAAUAUCAUACAGCUACCACCACCUAAGGGAGAUUUCAACACACACAGCGGAGAUAUUUCAGCAUGGAGGAUGAAAACCAGACUCAACGAAAUUCAAACUGCAAGAGGUGGAGAGAUUCCAUCCAUUUGUGUUGAAUCAAACAACCCUUUGUUCCACCACCAGGGCCUAUUUACUGGACUUUCAGGUUUAUCUGCAUAUUAUCUGUGGUUCAGUAAAACAUACCUUGUUUUUUUGUUUUUUUUUUCCCCUCGCAUGACAUCUCGCAUGUAUAAAUACACCUACUUUUAUUUUCUUUUGACAGAAAAAGGAAAGGUUGCACUAGAAGUACAAGUAAUAAGGUCAAAUCGCUAUGGCGGCUGUAAUUGUGCAGCAGCCUUUCAUCAAGACUCAGAGUAAUGCCUGGACUUCAGGAAUAUGUGACUGUUGCCAGGACUUGAAUUCUUGUAUGUAUGCUACAAUUCCACUUUAAGGCCUUAUAAUAAACAUUACAGCUCCUUUUUUACUGUUCAUUAA
Ctenopharyngodon idella (grass carp) is the source of this 636-nucleotide long non-coding RNA. RefSeq lists it as uncharacterized. NCBI's taxonomy places the organism in Eukaryota, Metazoa, Chordata, Actinopteri, Cypriniformes, Xenocyprididae. The transcript has 4 exons. The record is from RefSeq and is a predicted model, not a curated record.